This 468-nucleotide ribosomal RNA is filed under the name uncultured bacterium. Its description in RNAcentral is "partial 16S ribosomal RNA". It matches the Rfam family "Bacterial small subunit ribosomal RNA", at positions 28 to 507 of the family's 1533-position model. The record is from RNAcentral.
GACGAACGCUGGCGGCGUGCUUAACACAUGCAAGUCGAACGGAAAGGCCCUGCUUUUGUGGGGUGCUCGAGUGGCGAACGGGUGAGUAACACGUGAGUAACCUGCCCUUGACUUUGGGAUAACUUCAGGAAACUGGGGCUAAUACCGGAUAGGAGCUCCUGCUGCUUGGUGGGGGUUGGAAAGUUUCGGCGGUUGGGGAUGGACUCGCGGCUUAUCAGCUUGUUGGUGGGGUAGUGGCUUACCAAGGCUUUGACGGGUAGCCGGCCUGAGAGGGUGACCGGCCACAUUGGGACUGAGAUGCGGCCCAGACUCCUACGGGAGGCAGCAGUGGGGAAUAUUGCACAAUGGGCGGAAGCCUGAUGCGGCAACGCCGCGUGCGGGAUGACGGCCUUCGGGUUGUAAUCCGCUUUCGCCUGUGACGAAGCGUGAGUGACGGUAAUGGGUAAAGAAGCACCGGCUAACUACGUG